CCUGGCUCAGGAUGAACGCUAGCGGCAGGCUUAAUACAUGCAAGUCGUGGGGCAGCAUGAGUAGCAAUACUUGAUGGCGACCGGCAAACGGGUGAGGAACACGUACACAACCUUCCUUCAAGCGGGGAAUAGCCCAGAGAAAUUUGGAUUAAUACCCCAUAAUAUAUUUGAUAAGGCAUCUUAUUAAUAUUAAAGCUUCGGCACUUGAUGAUGGGUGUGCGGCUGAUUAGAUAGUUGGCGGGGUAACGGCCCACCAAGUCUACGAUCAGUAGCUGAUGUGAGAGCAUGAUCAGCCACACGGGCACUGAGACACGGGCCCGACUCCUACGGGAGGCAGCAGUAAGGAAUAUUGGACAAUGGACGAAAGUCUGAUCCAGCCAUGCCGCGUGAAGGAUUAAGGUCCUCUGGAUUGUAAACUUCUUUUAUAUGGGACGAAAAAAGGGCAUUCUUGUUCACUUGACGGUACCAUAUGAAUAAGCACCGGCUAACUCCGUG
Molecule: ribosomal RNA, 495 nt
Filed under: uncultured bacterium
Lineage: Bacteria
Description: bacterial SSU rRNA
Rfam family: Bacterial small subunit ribosomal RNA
Source: RNAcentral